UAGAGUUUGAUCAUGGCUCAGAUUGAACGCUGGCGGCAGGCUUCAGACAUGCAAGUCGUACGCGAAAGCCUUCGGGCGAGUAGAGUGGCGAACGGGUGAGUAACACGUGAGCAACCUGCCUUUGGAUUCGGGAUAACUCCUCGAAAGGGGGGCUAAUACCGGAUAAGACCACGGAGUCGAAUGGCUCAGGGGUAAAAGAUGGCCUCUUCAUGAAAGCUAUCGUCCAAAGAUGGGCUCGCGGUCCAUUAGCUUGUUGGUAGGGUAACGGCCUACCAAGGCCACGAUCCAUAGCUGGUCUGAGAGGAUGAUCAGCCACACUGGAACUGAGACACGGUCCAGACUUCUACGGGAGGCAGCAGUCGGGAAUAUUGGACAAUGGGGGAAACCCUGAUCCAGCCAUGCCGCGUGUGUGAAGAAGGCCUUCGGGUUGUAAAGCACUUUCAGUAGUGAGGAAGGGACCUGGGCGAAUACCCCGGGUUUUUGACGUUAGCUACAGAAGCAGCACCGGCUAACUCCGUGCCAGCAGCCGCGGUAAUACGGAGGGUGCGAGCGUUAAUCGGAAUUACUGGGCGUAAAGCGCGCGUAAGCGGUUUGGUAAGUCGGAUGUGAAAGCCCAGGGCUUAACCUUGAACUGCAUUCGAUACUGCCUGACUAGAGUAUGGUAGAGGGGGGUAGAAUUCCACGUGUAGCGGUGAAAUGCGUAGAGAUGUGGAGGAAUACCGGUGGCGAAGGCGGCCCCCUGGACCAAUACUGACGCUGAGGUGCGAAGGCGUGGGGAGCGAACAGGAUUAGAUACCCUGGUAGUCCACGCGGUAAACGAUGUCAACUAGCCGUUGGGAAUCUCGUUAUUCUUAGUGGCGCAGCUAACGCGAUAAGUUGACCGCCUGGGGAGUACGGUCGCAAGAUUAAAACUCAAAUGAAUUGACGGGGGCCCGCACAAGCGGUGGAGCAUGUGGUUUAAUUCGACGCAACGCGAAAAACCUUACCUGGCCUUGACAUCCCCGGAACCUGCCAGAGAUGGCGGGGUGCCUUCGGGAACCGGGUGACAGGUGCUGCAUGGCUGUCGUCAGCUCGUGUCGUGAGAUGUUGGGUUAAGUCCCGUAACGAGCGCAACCCUUGUCCUUAUUUGCCAGCAACUCGGUUGGGCACUCUAGGGAGACUGCCGGUGACAAGCCGGAGGAAGGUGGGGACGACGUCAAGUCAUCAUGGCCCUUACGGCCAGGGCUACACACGUGCUACAAUGGGGCGUACAAAGGGCUGCAAGCCUGCGAAGGUAAGCCAAUCCUCAAAACGUCUCGUAGUCCGGAUCGCAGUCUGCAACUCGACUGCGUGAAGUCGGAAUCGCUAGUAAUCGUAGAUCAGCAUGCUACGGUGAAUACGUUCCCGGGCCUUGUACACACCGCCCGUA
RNAcentral lists this ribosomal RNA (1408 nucleotides) under uncultured bacterium. Its description in RNAcentral is "bacterial SSU rRNA". It matches the Rfam family "Bacterial small subunit ribosomal RNA". The record is from RNAcentral.